Molecule: long non-coding RNA, 1406 nt
Filed under: Canis lupus familiaris (dog)
Lineage: Eukaryota; Metazoa; Chordata; Mammalia; Carnivora; Canidae
Description: lncRNA (ENSCAFG00845017804.1)
Source: RNAcentral
CGGCUCUCCAGUGAGAUUUGAAAUUCCAUGAGGGCGGAGGCUCUGUCUAGUGUACCUCCCUUAAAUUCUGGACUACACCAGACACAAGGCAGGGAACAGAGUGGCUACUUCAUUUCUUGUUGGUGGAUUUCUUGCUACUAAGAAACAUGUGCAGACUGUUUUGUAAGGAGGACAGAUGAGAAGGGCUGCCUCCACCAGAUGCUUUCCAAAUGCUUGCAACUUGUGUUGGUUUCCUUGGAGGCAGUUCUCAGAUAUCUUAGGAGAGACUGGCCCUGAUUUCUCUCUCCCCCCUCCUCCCCUCCUCAUUCUCUCUGACAAUGAGGUAAUCAGUUAGGGCUUCUUAGCAGCUGCUGGAUGUAGGUGGCACUUUCAUGUGUCAAGGGCUGUUCAGCAAUAGCAAGUUCAAGAAGGCAGAGAAACAGAGAGCUAUUUUAGUGGCAGACGACCACUUCAGAAAGCUUAUCUCAUGGAGAAACUUCCUUUCAUUCUCUUCCCACACGGAAAUGGCCAUUAUAGUAAUAAGUCUAAUCAGAAACACCAUACAGCUGCUUUCCACACCAGGGCAGUAGGAGAAUUACAUGCAAAUCUUGAACACUGAAGAAGAGGGCCGAAGGUGGAGCUAACCUGGUGAGUGCCUUACUUACAGAUCCCUGGGGGUGGGGUGUGUUUUGGAAUCUUCUUUUCCAGGACAAUGGCUAAUAUGGUGCCUAAUGGGAUGCCUGUUACAGAGGAGUUGCUCAAUAAAUACUCCCUGAGGGGAGCAGAUCAGCUAUCCCAAACCAGGAAAGACGAGUUAUUGGAUUUAAGUAGCUCUCAGAUGCCGCUGGACCCCAUCACCCAAACCCUGAUAUAGGGGAUUGCUCCUUAAACUGCAAUGCCCUCGACUUCCCUGCCUUCUCUUCUUUUUGAAUUCCAUUUGGUCAAGUGUCACCUGCUCUCUGAAGCUUUCACUGGUUUCCCCAGAUAGAAUUAAUUCCAUCUUGCUCUUUUGUUUUCUUUUAAAAACCGUUUGACCCCAGGACUCUCCUAUAGCGAUAACCAUGCACCAGGCACUCUGAACUGCAGCUCUGAUUUGGCUUUGGGCAGACCUGGUCUCAAGUCCUAACAUCAAGAAUUACCAGCUAUAGAUUCACAAGCCACUUCUCCAAAUCUUGACUUCUUGAGUAUAGUGAGGAUAAUAACACUUAACUCAUAAGGUUAACAGAAGGAUUUGAACAUCAUCCCUGUAGACAUGUAUUUCCAUCACACCCAAACCAUCAAAAUCAGAAAUUUGGUUUCUGUUUACUUCUGUAGCACCUACUUCAGUACUAGGCAUUUAAGAGAGUCUCAAUAGUUUUUGUAUUUGUGUGUGUGAAAAAUAUAAAUGGAUGGAUGUGGUGGUAAUAAUUGUUAUGUAAUAAUUAAAU